Molecule: ribosomal RNA, 403 nt
Filed under: uncultured bacterium
Lineage: Bacteria
Description: partial 16S ribosomal RNA
Rfam family: Bacterial small subunit ribosomal RNA
Source: RNAcentral
AUUGAACGCUGGCGGCAGGCCUAACACAUGCAAGUCGAGCGAGCGGCGGACGGGUGAGUAAUGUAUGGGGACUGCCCGAUAGAGGGGGAUAACUACUGGAAACGGUAGCUAAUACCGCAUACUAUCGGAUAACCCAUAUGGGAUUAGCUAGUAGGUGAGGUAAUGGCUCACCUAGGGGACGAUCCCUAGCUGGUCUUAGAGGAUGAUCAGCCACCCUGGAACUAAGACACAGCCCAGACUCCUGCGGAGGCAGCAGUGGGGAAUAUUGCACAAUGGGCGGAAGCCUGUGGCAGCCAUGCCGGGUGUAUGAAGAAGGCCCUAGGGUUGUAAAGUACUUUCAGUCGGGAGGCGUUACCGGCAGGAGAAGCACCGGCUAGCUCCGUACCAGCAGCCGCGGUAAUAC